This 253-nucleotide ribosomal RNA is filed under the name uncultured bacterium. RNAcentral's name for it is "partial 16S ribosomal RNA". It matches the Rfam family "Bacterial small subunit ribosomal RNA", at positions 524 to 776 of the family's 1533-position model. The record is from RNAcentral.
UACGUAGGGGGCAAGCGUUAUCCGGAUUUACUGGGUGUAAAGGGGGCGCAGACGGCGAUGCAAGCCAGGAGUGAAAGCCCGGGGCCCAACCCCGGGACUGCUCUUGGAACUGCGUGGCUGGAGUGCAGGAGGGGCAGGCGGAAUUCCUGGUGUAGCGGUGAAAUGCGCAGAUAUCAGGAGGAACACCGGUGGCGAAGGCGGCCUGCUGGACUGCAACUGACGUUGAGGCCCGAAAGCGUGGGGAGCAAACAGG